Molecule: non-coding RNA, 95 nt
Organism: Triticum aestivum (bread wheat)
Lineage: Eukaryota; Viridiplantae; Streptophyta; Magnoliopsida; Poales; Poaceae
Source: Rfam
AUAAUACUCCCUCCGUCCGGAAAUACUUGUCGGAGAAAUGGAUAUAAAUGAUAUCCAUUUCUCCGACAAGUAUUUCCGGACGGAGGGAGUAGUUA